GGUAAUACGAGGGGUGCAAGCGUUAAUCGGAAUUACUGGGCGUAAAGCGAGCGUAGGCGGCUGAAUAAGCUGGAUGUGAAAAACCGGGGCUCAACCUCGGCCGUGCAUUCAGAACUGUUUAGCUAGAGUCUUGUAGAGGGGGGUAGAAUUUCAGGUGUAGCGGUGAAAUGCGUAGAGAUCUGAAGGAAUACCAGUGGCGAAGGCGGCCCCCUGGACAAUGACUGACGCUGAGGUUCGAAAGCGUGGGUAGCGAACAGGAUUAGAUACCCUGGUAGUCCACGCCGUAAACGAUGUCUACUUGUUGUUUGUGUCCUUGUGACGUGAGUGACGAAGCUAACGCGCUAAGUAGACCGCCUGGGGAGUACGGCCGCAAGGUUAAAACUCAAAUGAAUUGACGGGGGCCCGCACAAGCGGUGGAGCAUGUGGUUUAAUUCGAUGCAACGCGAAGAACCUUACCAUCCCUUGACAUCCAGAGAAUUAUCUAGAGAUAGAUUUGUGCCUUCGGGAACUCUGAGACAGGUGCUGCAUGGCUGUCGUCAGCUCGUGUUGUGAAAUGUUGGGUUAAGUCCCGCAACGAGCGCAACCCCUAUCCUUAGUUGCCAGCACGUAAUGGUGGGAACUCUAAGGAGACUGCCGGUGACAAACCG
This 647-nucleotide ribosomal RNA is filed under the name uncultured Alteromonas sp. Its description in RNAcentral is "SSU rRNA". It matches the Rfam family "Bacterial small subunit ribosomal RNA", at positions 519 to 1165 of the family's 1533-position model. Lineage: Bacteria; Pseudomonadati; Pseudomonadota; Gammaproteobacteria; Alteromonadales; Alteromonadaceae. The record is from RNAcentral.